UCCCUGCUGUGGUUCUUGCCCUGAUC
RNAcentral lists this non-coding RNA (26 nucleotides) under Mus musculus (house mouse). Lineage: Eukaryota; Metazoa; Chordata; Mammalia; Rodentia; Muridae. The record is from RNAcentral.